GUAGGUGGCAAGCGUUGUCCGGAAUUAUUGGGCGUAAAGCGCGCGCAGGCGGUUCUUUAAGUCUGAUGUGAAAGCCCACGGCUCAACCGUGGAGGGUCAUUGGAAACUGGAGAACUUGAGUACAGAAGAGGAAAGCGGAAUUCCACGUGUAGCGGUGAAAUGCGUAGAGAUGUGGAGGAACACCAGUGGCGAAGGCGGCUUUCUGGUCUGUAACUGACGCUGAGGCGCGAAAGCGUGGGGAGCAAACAGGGAUUAGAUACCCUGGUAGUCCACGCCGUAAACGAUGAGUGCUAAGUGUUAGGGGGUUUCCGCCCCCUUAGUGCUGCAGCCAACGCAUUAAGCACUCCGCCUGGGGAGUACGGCCGCAAGGCUG
Molecule: ribosomal RNA, 373 nt
Filed under: uncultured organism
Description: partial 16S ribosomal RNA
Rfam family: Bacterial small subunit ribosomal RNA
Source: RNAcentral